Molecule: unclassified non-coding RNA, 301 nt
Filed under: Ambisporaceae sp.
Lineage: Eukaryota; Fungi; Glomeromycota; Glomeromycetes; Archaeosporales; Ambisporaceae
Description: partial contains 5.8S ribosomal RNA and internal transcribed spacer 2
Rfam family: 5.8S ribosomal RNA (bases 1-71)
Source: RNAcentral
GUGAAUCAUCGAAUUUUUGAACGCAUAUUGCGCUCUCUAGUAUUCCGGAGGGUAUGCCUAUUUGAGGGUCAUUUGAAAUAAUAUGAAUUGCAAGAUGUCGCGGAAUUUAAAACGGGGUGUCCAUUUUUUGUAGUCGCCUAAAAGCCAAGACAAGCUCAUGUUCUUGGGAUGCAUGAUACUUUCAGUUACCUCGUGACUUAACCAGUAAUCAUCGGGCUUGUGAUUAAUUUUGCAAGAGAUGAAAAGUUCCAUAGAUUUAUCUCAGGCUAAAUAGAAAUGGAGGCAUGACCUCAAUUUAUUU